RNAcentral lists this ribosomal RNA (506 nucleotides) under uncultured bacterium. RNAcentral's name for it is "partial 16S ribosomal RNA". It matches the Rfam family "Bacterial small subunit ribosomal RNA", at positions 29 to 523 of the family's 1533-position model. The record is from RNAcentral.
AGUGAACGCUGGCGGUAGGCCUAGCACGUGCAAGUCGAACGGCAGCACAGAGGAGCUUGCUCCUUGGGUGGCGAGUGGCGGACGGGUGAGGAAUACAUCGGAAUCUACUCUGUCGUGGGGGAUAACGUAGGGAAACUUACGCUAAUACCGCAUACGACCUACGGGUGAAAGCAGGGGAUCUUCGGACCUUGCGCGAUUGAAUGAGCCGAUGUCGGAUUAGCUAGUUGGCGGGGUAAAGGCCCACCAAGGCGACGAUCCGUAGCUGGUCUGAGAGGAUGAUCAGCCACAGUGGAACUGAGACACGGUCGAGACUCCUACGGGAUGCAGCAGUGGGGAAGAUUGGACAAUGGGCGCAAGCCUGAUCCAGCCAUACCGCGUGGGUGGAGAAGGCCUUCGGGUUGUAAAGCCCUUUUGUUGGGAAAGAAAUCCAUCUGGUUAAUACCCGGGUGGGAUGACGGUACCCAAAGAAUAGGCACCGGCUAACUUCGUGCCAGCCGCCGCAGUAA